GGUUCACCCUGUAUCAGACUCUGGAGCCCAUGGUGUCCAGGUCUAUCUGCCUGGCCAAGGGGAGGUGAGUUAAGGAAGGGCAUGGUGGGGAAAGAUGGUGGAAGCCAAAGGAGGCAAACAGGACGGGACCCCUGUGCACUGAGUGAUCCGGUAUCUUACCUCUUUUGUCACUCACAGGUGUGGUAUGACAUUCAAAGCUACCAGAAGCAUCAUGGUCCCCAGACCUUGUACCUGCCUGUAACUCUAAGCAGUAUCCCUGUGUUCCAGCGUGGAGGGACAAUCGUGCCUCGAUGGAUGCGAGUGCGGCGGUCUUCAGAAUGUAUGAAGGAUGACCCCAUCACUCUCUUUGUUGCACUUAGCCCUCAGGGUACAGCUCAAGGAGAGCUCUUUCUGGAUGAUGGGCACACGUUCAAC
RNAcentral lists this small RNA (414 nucleotides) under Pan troglodytes (chimpanzee). Its description in RNAcentral is "retained intron". The record is from RNAcentral. Lineage: Eukaryota; Metazoa; Chordata; Mammalia; Primates; Hominidae.